Molecule: ribosomal RNA, 507 nt
Filed under: uncultured bacterium
Lineage: Bacteria
Description: partial 16S ribosomal RNA
Rfam family: Bacterial small subunit ribosomal RNA (bases 20-332)
Source: RNAcentral
GACGAACGCUGGCGGCGUGCUUAACACAUGCAAGUCGAACGGAAAGGCCCUGCUUUUGUGGGGUGCUCGAGUGGCGAACGGGUGAGUAACACGUGAGUAACCUGCCCUUGACUUUGGGAUAACUUCAGGAAACUGGGGCUAAUACCGGAUAGGAGCUCCUGCUGCAUGGUGGGGGUUGGAAAGUUUCGGCGGUUGGGGAUGGACUCGCGGCUUAUCAGCUUGUUGGUGGGGUAGUGGCUUACCAAGGCUUUGACGGGUAGCCGGCCUGAGAGGGUGACCGGCAUGGUUGCGCGUGGACGACGGGCAGGACGCUGGCGGGAGGGAGGGGGGGGUAGGACUGAGCGCGGGGGGGAGGCUGGAUGCAGGACGGCGGGGGGCGGGAGGACGGCCGGCGGGUGGAAGGCGGCUUUGGGCUGGGACGAGGGGGGAGGGAGGGUAAUGGGAAAGGAAGCACGGACUAACUAGGUGCCGCAGGCGAAUAAAUAAGAGAAUAGAACACGCCUGAAC